Molecule: ribosomal RNA, 887 nt
Filed under: uncultured Gammaproteobacteria bacterium
Lineage: Bacteria; Pseudomonadati; Pseudomonadota; Gammaproteobacteria
Description: bacterial SSU rRNA
Rfam family: Bacterial small subunit ribosomal RNA
Source: RNAcentral
GGGAUGGCGGCAUGCUUACCAUGCAAGUCGACGGUAACAGGUGUAGCAAUACAUGCUGACGAGUGGCGGACGGGUGAGGAAUGCUUGGGAAUCUGCCUGUUAGUGGGGGACAACCCGGGGAAACUCGGGCUAAUACCGCAUACGCUCUACGGAGGAAAGCGGGGGACCGUAAGGCCUCGCGCUAACAGAUGAGCCCAAGUCGGAUUAGCUAGUUGGUGGGGUAAAAGCCUACCAAGGCGACGAUCCGUAGCUGGUCUGAGAGGACGAUCAGCCACACUGGGACUGAGACACGGCCCAGACUCCUACGGGAGGCAGCAGUGGGGAAUAUUGGACAAUGGGGGCAACCCUGAUCCAGCAAUGCCGCGUGUGUGAAGAAGGCCUGCGGGUUGUAAAGCACUUUUGGCAGGGAUGAAAAGCACUGGAUUAAUAACCCAGUGUGUUGACCUAACCUGCAGAAGAAGCACCGGCUAACUCUGUGCCAGCAGCCGCGGUAAUACAGAGGGUGCAAGCGUUAAUCGGAAUUACUGGGCGUAAAGCGCGCGUAGGCCGUCGAGUAAGUCGGAUGUGAAAUCCCCGGGCUUAACCUGGGAAUUGCAUUCGAUACUGCUUGGCUAGAGUGUGGAAGAGGGAAGCGGAAUUUCCGGUGUAGCGGUGAAAUGCGUAGAUAUCGGAAGGGACACCAGUGGCGAAGGCGGCUUCCUGGUCCAACACUGACGCUGAGGCGCGAAAGCGUGGGGAGCGAACAGGAUUAGAUACCCUGGUAGUCCACGCUGUAAACGAUGAGAACUAGAUGUUGGGGGGUAUAACCCCUCAGUGUCGCAGCUAACGCGUUAAGUUCUCCGCCUGGGGAGUACGGCCGCAAGGUUGAAACUCAAAGGAAUUGACGG